UACGUAGGGGGCAAGCGUUAUCCGGAUUUACUGGGUGUAAAGGGAGCGCAGACGGUAUAGCAAGUCUGAAGUGAAAUGUUAGGGCUCAACCCUAAAGCUGCUUUGGAAACUGCUAAACUUGAGUGUCGGAGGGGUAAGCGGAAUUCCUAGUGUAGCGGUGAAAUGCGUAGAUAUUAGGAGGAACACCGGCGGCGAAGGCGGCUUACUGGACGAUAACUGACGUUGAGGCUCGAAAGCGUGGGGAGCAAAC
RNAcentral lists this ribosomal RNA (250 nucleotides) under uncultured prokaryote. RNAcentral's name for it is "partial 16S ribosomal RNA". It matches the Rfam family "Bacterial small subunit ribosomal RNA", at positions 524 to 773 of the family's 1533-position model. The record is from RNAcentral.